RNAcentral lists this non-coding RNA (117 nucleotides) under Gorilla gorilla gorilla (western lowland gorilla). Lineage: Eukaryota; Metazoa; Chordata; Mammalia; Primates; Hominidae. The record is from Rfam by way of RNAcentral.
GCCAGGUGUGGUGGCUCACACCUGUAAUCCCAGCACUUUUGGAGGCUGAGGCAGGCGGAUCACCUGAGGUCAGGAGUUCGAGACCAGCCUGGCCAACAUGGUGAAACCCCGUCUCUA